This 402-nucleotide ribosomal RNA is filed under the name uncultured bacterium. RNAcentral's name for it is "partial 16S ribosomal RNA". It matches the Rfam family "Bacterial small subunit ribosomal RNA", at positions 361 to 777 of the family's 1533-position model. The record is from RNAcentral.
AUAUUGCACAAUGGAGGAAACUCUGAUGCAGCAACGCCGCGUGAGGGGAGAAGGUCUUCGGAUUGUAAACCUUUGUCCUCGGUGAAGAAACAAAUGACGGUAGCCGAGGAGGAAGCCACGGCUAACUACGUGCCAGCAGCCGCGGUAAUACGUAGGUGGCAAGCGUUGUCCGGAAUUACUGGGUGUAAAGGGUGCGCAGGCGGGACUGCAAGUUGGAUGUGAAAUACCGGGGCUCAACCCCGGGGCUGCAACCAAAACUGUGGUUCUUGAGUGAAGUAGAGGCAAGCGGAAUUCCGAGUGUAGCGGUGAAAUGCGUAGAUAUUCGGAGGAACACCAGUGGCGAAGGCGGCUUGCUGGGCUUUAACUGACGCUGAGGCACGAAAGCAUGGGGAGCAAACAGGA